GGAGAGAUGGAUGAGUGGUUUAAGUCACCACCCUGGAAAGGUGGCACAGGGUUAUCCCUGUCGCGAGUUCGAAUCUCGCUCUCUCCGCCA
Molecule: transfer RNA, 90 nt
Filed under: Candidatus Methylopumilus turicensis
Lineage: Bacteria; Pseudomonadati; Pseudomonadota; Betaproteobacteria; Nitrosomonadales; Methylophilaceae
Also listed under: 4 other names
Description: tRNA-Ser
Rfam family: tRNA
About the family: Transfer RNA (tRNA) molecules are approximately 80 nucleotides in length. Their secondary structure includes four short double-helical elements and three loops (D, anti-codon, and T loops). Further hydrogen bonds mediate the characteristic L-shaped molecular structure. tRNAs have two regions of fundamental functional importance: the anti-codon, which is responsible for specific mRNA codon recognition, and the 3' end, to which the tRNAs corresponding amino acid is attached (by aminoacyl-tRNA synthetases). tRNAs cope with the degeneracy of the genetic code in two manners: having more than one tRNA (with a specific anti-codon) for a particular amino acid; and 'wobble' base-pairing, i.e. permitting non-standard base-pairing at the 3rd anti-codon position.
Source: RNAcentral